Molecule: ribosomal RNA, 460 nt
Filed under: uncultured bacterium
Lineage: Bacteria
Description: partial 16S ribosomal RNA
Rfam family: Bacterial small subunit ribosomal RNA
Source: RNAcentral
CCUACGGGUGGCAGCAGUGAGGAAUAUUGGUCAAUGGACGGAAGUCUGAACCAGCCAUGCCGCGUGCAGGAUGACUGCUCUAUGAGUUGUAAACUGCUUUUGUACAGGAAUAAUAGUUCUUACGUGUAGGUUUUUGAAUGUAUCUUACGAAUAAGGAUCGGCUAACUCCGUGCCAGCAGCCGCGGUAAUACGGAGGAUUCGAGCGUUAUCCGGAUUUAUUGGGUUUAAAGGGAGCGUAGGCUGGUGGAUAAGUUAGUGGUCAAAGGUCGGGGCUUAACCGCGUGCUUGCAUCUGAUACUGUCAGACUAGAGAGCAGAUGCGGCAGGCGGAAUGAGUAGUGUAGCGGUGAAAUGCUUAGAUAUUACGAAGAACACCGAUUGCGAAGGCAGCUUGCUAAUCCGCAUCUGACACUGAUGCACGAAAGUGUGGGUAGCGAACAGGAUUAGAUACCCGUGUAGUC